This is a long non-coding RNA of Camelus dromedarius (Arabian camel), 4138 nucleotides long. RefSeq lists it as uncharacterized. The transcript has 8 exons. The record is from RefSeq and is a predicted model, not a curated record. Lineage: Eukaryota; Metazoa; Chordata; Mammalia; Artiodactyla; Camelidae.
UAAGCGAUGUGCGAGCUGCCGUAGGGGUGAGCUCGCUUCGGUAACCUCUAACGCUGGUUUUGACCUCGGUGUUAGCGUGCUUGCUGGAACCCGGCUACGCUCAGCGUCGUCUGCUCGAAAGACCCCUGCCUUGGUUUUGGGAGAGGAGUGUUGGAUUGUCUGCCCGAAACCUCUCAGUUCUUUUUAUCCUGGUAUUUUUUUCCUUCACCCUCUUUGCUUGUUCUAAGUUGGAAUGUUUGAUUGCUGAGUGCAUUGUCCUUCAGUGAGGGGCUUGAGGCAGAAAGUUCUCGUUUAUUUUCCCUUUCUGCUGAGGGGCCUUUUCUUGUGGAAAUAAUCUGGGCGACUCCAGCCAGUGAUGUAAUGUUUUCCUGGAGCAGGGCCACUUUUGAAACAGCUCUCCAGAGUGCAUCGUGCCCUCUGUCAAGCGCGCUCCGUGCAGCGCUUUGUGUUUACUGGCUACGUUUUACUCACACACUUGCACAGUUUCGGUCCCGAGUUUCCAGAUUCGACAGUGUGCCCGAAGUCAAACCUGUGCUCGUGUACUUUUCUGUGCACUUGGGCGUUUCUUUGGUUUCUUACGAAAAGAAAGAACAGGUGGAUUUUAGAUUCAGUGCUCACUGCGGUUUCUGUUCUCAGUGCUGAGUCUCGGUUACUGGAAGCAGCGGUGAAGUGUUUCCUCUUCCUUUAUUUCAGCCCUCACUCAUCUCCGGUGCCUGUGACUCCAGAGCUUGCUUUCUUUCCUUUUCUGUUCUCGGGCAGCAGUGAGUAUGAAAAAGAGCCGUCAGUUUGAGCCCUUGCGUAAUCUCGGUCUCACACCACCUUCUGUCUGACUGAGCGGUUUCGGUCACACCCCUCACAGUUGAGGGAUUUCCAGGGUUGUUGGCCCUCCUGGUCACUGAGUCCAAGGUUGAAGGUCCACGGUACCUAACUGCCCCGACUAGAAGGUGAUUCAUCGUUAGGUGUAGUUCUGCAGAGAGUGUGACAUCAGAGAGGAAGAGGAAACAUUGCAGGAUCCAAACUACUGGAUACAGGUGCACCGGCUGGAACACGGGGAUGGAGGGAUUCUCGACCUUGACGACAUCCUGUGUGACGUGGCCGACAAUAAAGACAGAACAGCUUGGUGCAUAGCAGGUGCUCAGGAAUAGUUGAUGGAAGAAGCAGGUUAUUCUCUGCGUCUUGCGAAGCUGAGGCUCCUGGUGCACUGUUGGACUGUGUAUGUUUUCUGAACCAGAAAGGAGGAAGCAAAGGCCCCAGUUUUGAGUUUUAGUGUUUGGGAGCCAACAAGAACCAUAUCAUUAAACAACAAGCCAAACCAACGUGAAACUAAGCUCUUGGCAUUAAAAACAAAGGCAACAAAAGCAAAGAUAAACAAGCGGGACCACAUCGAAUCAGGCGGUUCUGCUCAGCAAAGGAGAAGGCGGCUACGGAGUGGGAGGAAAUGUUCGGAACCACAUACCUGACAAGGGGUGAUGUCCAGAGUGUAUGAAGAACUCAGAGACUGAAACAGCCAGACAAUCAGAUCAAGUAAUGGGCUGAGGAACUGAACAGACACUUUUCCAGAGAUGACAUACAGAAUGGCCACACAGAAGCAGUGUGCUCAGCAUCGCUGACCUUCAGGAAAACACAAACCACACCCACAGCAUCACUUCACACCCGUGAGCCCGGCUGUUGCUGGAAGCCAGACGAGUGUCGGCGAGGACAUGGCGGGAGGGAGCCUUGUGACUGUGGCUGGGGAUGUAAGUUGGUGCAGCCUCUGUGGGGAAGAGUAUGUAAGUUUCUUGAAAAAUCAAAGCUAGAUAGAGCUACCAUUGGGUCCAGCAAUCCCACUUCUGGGUGUUUAUCCAAAGAAAAUGGUCACUGUCUUGAACAGGCGUCUGCAGCCCCACAUUCACUGCAGUGCUGCCCACAACAGCCGAGAUUCGGACAUAAGCCAGGCGUCCAUCCACGGUGAACGGAUAAAGGACGCACACAGACACAGGAACAUUCAGCCACAAGGAGGAAGGAAACCCUGUCAUCUGUGACAACGUGGAUGGACACCUGGCUUGGUGGACAUCAUGCGAAGUGCGGUUACUGCAAGAUAUUGACUACAGUUCCCUGUGAUACACAGUAGGACCUUGCUGUUUAUCUGUUUUAUGUAUAGAAUAUCUGAAAAUCUCGAUUCAAAGGGCUGGUCUUUCAGGUUUUCCUUUAUCCAGGAAGUUCCCUUACAUGGCCUGGACCCCUCAUUGUAAGGCCACGUGAGACUUUCCAGAUACGACCCAUGAUGUGUUAAGGACAUAUACUCAGCCAAAAUAGUAUUUUCAGCUACUGGUGUGUACGUGGUUGUGAAAUGUUUAUCGACUAAGGAAAGAGGUAAUCCACAGAGCUGGGGGGACAGGUGUGGAGCUGAAAACUCAGACACCUGUGAAAUAGGACCCUGAGGGUGGAGGUAAAAUCCUGCAGGAUUUCUGAAGUGGCAUCUUUCCCCGCCUCAUCUUUCUUAACUCACUUACAAACCAAACCACAGGAGAAUGACAGGUCUAACAGUUUGUCACCACUUGUGGGGGAGGUGAGUCUUACAGAGCGCUAGGAACCUGGACGGAGUGAGGAGGUGAAUAAGGCCUGGGAGGGUCAUGACCUAGCUAUGACACACAAGGGGCAUUGUUACAGUGUGAGGAGUGCACCUGGGGGCACAGGGGCGGCAGAAGGGACGUGCCCCUCACCCAGGCAAGGACCACUGCGCCCACCCCAAGGGUGGCUGGCGGGCAGAGGCAAUGGUGGUGAGCUGGGAGCCUGGCCGGGGGCUGCUGGGGAUUGGGGGGUCUGGGAGUUAGGAGAAACGUCUGUCGGAAAGCUUGGCCAACAGAGACCGAAGCCAGGGAGACAGCAAGGCUAGGGACCCCAGGUGAUCUGAGCAGAAGGCACCUAAACUGAGAAUAAACAAGAAACUGACAGUUAAAUCGGCAGAGGGUCACUGGAGGGAGCAUGGGGACAUCGCGACCACGAGGCUCCCCUGUGCACCUUGACCUGGGAAGGUGCUCCCUCGCUCUGUUGGCCCCACGCCCUGGCUCCUGGGUCACGUCAGGUGUGCUGUCACUCCAGGUUCACGGCGAGGAAGCUGGGCAGUGAGCCCGAGCCCCCCGGGCACAGGGACACCAGGAGCUGAGCUGGGACUGGAACCACCCACUCUGGAACUUUUUGCCGCCAGGCAAUGAAGCGAGGGCUUUUGCAUCUAUGUUUGAAUCUACAGUGGAGAUUUCAGAAAAUCACAAAAAUGUGACUACACCUUCCUCUCAUGACCAUGCAUCUGACUCAGCAUUCCUGCUGACACCUCCAAGUCUGUCUAAGCAAGCCAGGACUUCAGGGAGAAGAGAAUCUGGAAUCAUGGAUUUCUGUUUGGGUCAGAGCACAGGGCACACCCCAGAUGCCACGCCUCCUACAACGUGGACUCCACUCCUGCCGUGGCCCCCACCCACCGGCCAGGCCCAAGUGGAACCUUCCCCUCCAUCGCUCUGACUGCUACCUCCCCUCUUGGAGGGCCAGUGUCAAGUCCAGGCUCGUAUCAGGACUAGGUGGAGAAAGCAGUCAGUUGGCAAACCCUAAGACAAGGGUUUUCCCGCAAGACAAGGAUUCUGAGCACUGGCCAGGCUUGGGGGUGCCAGGCAGGCUUCAGAAGAACACCAGGGCCUGGGCCUGUCUGAGCUCAGGCAGAUGCCCUCGUGGCUCAGCAUCACAGCCCGCGCGGGUCAGCGCCUGGCCAGGCCUGUCACCAGGCACACAGGCUGGUGCCUCCUCUAGACCCAAAUCCAGACUAAAGCUGAAUGGAAGGAACAUUUGGGACCCCUCAGUUACCUGACACCAAACAGCCCCAUCUGCAAAUCCUGGGGACUCCUGUGAGACUUGAUGUGUUGAGAAUGAAGCAGCAUGAGGAUCACACCUAAACUUUCACAGAUGGUCAGCGUGAGUCCAUCACAAACCGAGAAUUUGGCUGAUUAUUGUUGGGACUGAGGAACCUGAGAGUUUGGAUUAUCCUGGAUGCCUUUCCUCUGGAUUCUCUACGAAGCAGACUGAGGAAACACUGUACUGACCUGGGGCCUCUCUGCACCAGUCUUUUUUGGAAGAGUUCUCAGGUACCUUGACCCAAGCAUGAUGUGAGGAA